AGACAGAACUGUGGGGACACGUGUGGAGAGCAUAGGCGCGGAAUGGAAAGCCGCGUGCAAGCGAGGUAGGAGUCCUGUAGGAAAAACCGCAGGGCAAUCCGAAGGCGUGAUGCGGACCGAAAUCUAGUAGGGAAGUAUGUGAGCCAUGCGUCAAGAAAAGCCGCUAUUGUUCUUAUUGUACCCGUACCGUAAACCGACACAGGUGGAUGAGGAGAGAAUCCUAAGGCCGACGGAAGAAGCAUUGUUAAGGAACUCGGCAAAAUGACCCCGUAACUUCGGGAGAAGGGGUGCCACAGAAAUGUGGCCGCAGAGAAUAGGCUCAAGCAACUGUUUAGCAAAAACACAGGUCUAUGCAAAACCGAAAGGUGAGGUAUAUGGGCUGACGCCUGCCCGGUGCUGGAAGGUUAAGAGGAGAGGUUAGCGCAAGCGAAGCUUUGAAUUGAAGCCCCAGUAAACGGCGGCCGUAACAAUAACGGUCCUAAGGUAGCGAAAUUCCUUGUCGGGUAAGUUCCGACCCGCACGAAAGGCGUAAUGAUUUGAGCGCUGUCUCGACAAUGCAUCCGGUGAAAUUGAAGUACCAGUGAAGAUGCUGGUUACCUGCGCCAGGACGGAAAGACCCCAUGGAGCUUUACUCCAGCUUGAUACUGGGAUUCGGUAUUGCAUGUACAGGAUAGGUGGGAGGCUGAGAAUCGGUAACGCCAGUUGCCGAGGAGCCAUUGUUGGGAUACCACCCUUGCAGUACUGGGUUUCUAACCAGCAGCCGUGACCCGGCUGGGGGACAAUGUCAGGUGGGGAGUUUGACUGGGGCGGUCGCCUCCGAAAGGGUAUCGGAGGCGCUCAAAGGUUCCCUCAGAAUGGUUGGAAACCAUUCGAAGAGUGCAAAGGCAGAAGGGAGCUUGACUGCGACACCGACGGGUGGAGCAGGUACGAAAGUAGGACUUAGUGAUCCGGUGGUAUUAAGUGGGAAUGCCAUCGCUCAACGGAUAAAAGCUACCCUGGGGAUAACAGGCUUAUCACUCCCAAGAGUUCACAUCGACGGAGUGGUUUGGCACCUCGAUGUCGGCUCAUCGCAUCCUGGGGCUGUAGUAGGUCCCAAGGGUUGGGCUGUUCGCCCAUUAAAGCGGUACGCGAGCUGGGUUCAGAACGUCGUGAGACAGUUCGGUCCCUAUCCGGCGUGGGCGUAGGAUAUCUGAGAGGAGCUGUCCUUAGUACGAGAGGACCGGGAUGGACGGACCGCUGGUGUACCUGUUGCAGUGCCAGCUGCAUGGCAGGGUAGCCAAGUCCGGAAGGGAUAAACGCUGAAGGCAUCUAAGCGUGAAGCCCCCCUCAAGAUGAGAUAUCCCAUUCGGAAGAAGUAAGACCCCUUGAAGACGACGAGGUAGAUAGGGCAGAGGUGGAAGUGCAGUAAUGUAUGGAGCUGACUGUUACUAAUCGGUCGAGGGUUUGAUC
Molecule: ribosomal RNA, 1449 nt
Filed under: metagenome
Description: bacterial LSU rRNA
Rfam family: Bacterial large subunit ribosomal RNA
Source: RNAcentral